Molecule: non-coding RNA, 26 nt
Filed under: Mus musculus (house mouse)
Lineage: Eukaryota; Metazoa; Chordata; Mammalia; Rodentia; Muridae
Source: RNAcentral
CAGGGCAACCCAGGACCUACUGCCAG